CCUUCGGGAGCUGACGAGUGGCGGACGGGUGAGUAAUGCUUGGGAAUCUGGCUUAUGGAGGGGGAUAACUACUGGAAACGGUAGCUAAUACCGCGUAAUCUCUUAGGAGUAAAGGGUGGGACUUUCGGGCCACCUGCCAUAAGAUGAGCCCAAGUGGGAUUAGGUAGUUGGUGGGGUAAAGGCCUACCAAGCCGACGAUCUCUAGCUGGUCUGAGAGGAUGGCCAGCCACACUGGAACUGAGACACGGUCCAGACUCCUACGGGAGGCAGCAGUGGGGAAUAUUGCACAAUGGGGGGAACCCUGAUGCAGCCAUGCCGGGUGAAUGAAGAAGGCCUUCGGGUUGUAAAGUUCCUUUCGGUGAUGAGGAAGGCAGGCUUGUUAAUAGCAAGUUUGAUUGACGUUAGUCACAGAAGAAGCGCCGGCUAACUCCGUGCCAGCAGCCGCGGUAAUACGGAGGGUGCGAGCGUUAAUCGGAAUAACUGGGCGUAAAGGGCACGCAGGCGGAUUGUUAAGUGAGAUGUGAAAGCCCCGAGCUCAACUUGGGAAUUGCAUUUCAGACUGGCAGUCUAGAGUAUUUUAGGGAGGGGUAGAAUUCCACGUGUAGCGGUGAAAUGGGUAGAGAUGUGGAGGAAUACCGAAGGCGAAGGCAGCCCCUUGGGAAUAUACUGACGCUCAUGUGCGAAAGCGUGGGGAGCAAACAGGAUUAGAUACCCUGGUAGUCCACGCUGUAAACGAUGUUGAUUUGGGGAUUGGGCUUUAAGCUUGGUGCCCGUAGCUAACGUGAUAAAUCAACCGCCUGGGGAGUACGGCCGCCAAGGUUAAAACUCAAAUGAAUUGACGGGGGCCCGCACAAGCGGUGGAGCAUGUGGUUUAAUUCGAUGCAACGCGAAGAACCUUACCUACCCUUGACAUCCAUGGAAUCCA
Molecule: ribosomal RNA, 925 nt
Filed under: uncultured rumen bacterium
Lineage: Bacteria
Description: bacterial SSU rRNA
Rfam family: Bacterial small subunit ribosomal RNA
Source: RNAcentral